RNAcentral lists this transfer RNA (233 nucleotides) under Pneumocystis jirovecii. Its description in RNAcentral is "tRNA-Pseudo(TAT)". Lineage: Eukaryota; Fungi; Ascomycota; Pneumocystomycetes; Pneumocystales; Pneumocystaceae. The record is from RNAcentral.
AAUAUUUUAUAUAAAUACUUUAUACAAUACUAUUUAUAUUAAAAUUUUUUUAAAUUUUAUCAAUAAAAAUUGUAAUAUUAAAAAAAAAUAUGUAAAAAUACAAUAAUUUUAACAAUCAAACAGAUAAUUUUAUUUGAUUUUAAGAAUUAUUAGAUGUAAUAAUUAUAUUAAAUUUACAAAAAUAUAUACUAUUAUUGUAAAUUAUAUAUAUCUUUUUUAAUAAAAAAAUAUUU